CCUACGGGAGGCAGCAGUGGGGAAUAUUGCACAAUGGGGGGAACCCUGAUGCAGCGACGCCGCGUGAGUGAAGAAGUAUUUCGGUAUGUAAAGCUCUAUCAGCAGGGAAGAAAAUGACGGUACCUGACUACUAAGCCCCGGCUAACUACGUGCCAGCAGCCGCGGUAAUACGUAGGGGGCAAGCGUUAUCCGGAUUUACUGGGUGUAAAGGGAGCGUAGACGGCUGUGCAAGUCUGGAGUGAAAGGCGGGGGCCCAACCCCCGGACUGCUCUGGAAACUGUAAAGCUGGAGUGCAGGAGAGGUAAGCGGAAUUCCUAGUGUAGCGGUGAAAUGCGUAGAUAUUAGGAGGAACACCAGUGGCGAAGGCGGCUUACUGGACUGCAACUGACGUUGAGGCUCGAAAGCGUGGGGAGCAAACAGGAUUAGAUACCCGAGUAGUC
This 440-nucleotide ribosomal RNA is filed under the name uncultured bacterium. RNAcentral describes it as "partial 16S ribosomal RNA". It matches the Rfam family "Bacterial small subunit ribosomal RNA", at positions 338 to 795 of the family's 1533-position model. The record is from RNAcentral.